Molecule: ribosomal RNA, 214 nt
Filed under: uncultured Staphylococcus sp.
Lineage: Bacteria; Bacillati; Bacillota; Bacilli; Caryophanales; Staphylococcaceae
Description: partial 16S ribosomal RNA
Rfam family: Bacterial small subunit ribosomal RNA
Source: RNAcentral
UACCUAUAAGACUGGGAGUAACUUCUGGAAACCGGAGCUAAUACCGGAUAAUAUAUUGAACCGCAUGGUUCAAUAGUGAAAGACGGUUUUGCUGUCACUUAUAGAUGGAUCCGCGCCGCAUUAGCUAGUUGGUAAGGUAACGGCUUACCAAGGCAACGAUGCGUAGCCGACCUGAGAGGGUGAUCGGCCACACUGGAACUGAGACACGGUCCAG